CCUACGGGGGGCUGCAGUGGGGAAUUUUGGACAAUGGGCGCAAGCCUGAUCCAGCAAUGCCGCGUGCAGGAUGAAGGCCUUCGGGUUGUAAACUGCUUUUGUACGGAGCGAAACGGUCUUCUCUAAUACAGGAGGCUAAUGACGGUACCGUAAGAAUAAGCACCGGCUAACUACGUGCCAGCAGCCGCGGUAAUACGUAGGGUGCGAGCGGGAAUCGUAAUUACCGGGCGGGGAUCGUGCGGACAGAGGUGAAAUCCCCGGGCUUAACCUGGGACCUGCAUUUGUGACUGCAAGGCUGGAGUGCGGCAGAGGGGGAUGGAAUUCCGCGUGUAGCAGUGAAAUGCGUAGAUAUGCGGAGGAACACCGAUGGCGAAGGCAAUCCCCUGGGCCUGCACUGACGCUCAUGCACGAAAGCGUGGGGAGCAAACAGGAUUAGAUACCCCAGUAGUC
RNAcentral lists this ribosomal RNA (450 nucleotides) under uncultured bacterium. RNAcentral describes it as "partial 16S ribosomal RNA". It matches the Rfam family "Bacterial small subunit ribosomal RNA", at positions 338 to 795 of the family's 1533-position model. The record is from RNAcentral.